AUUAUAGCUCAGUUGGUAGAGCAAUUGAUUCGUAAUCAAUAGGUCGGGAGUUCAAUUCUCCCUAA
RNAcentral lists this transfer RNA (65 nucleotides) under chicken gut metagenome. It matches the Rfam family "tRNA", at positions 5 to 66 of the family's 71-position model. From Rfam's summary of the family: Transfer RNA (tRNA) molecules are approximately 80 nucleotides in length. Their secondary structure includes four short double-helical elements and three loops (D, anti-codon, and T loops). The record is from RNAcentral.